GAUGAAGAACGCAGCGAAAUGCGAUAAGUAAUGUGAAUUGCAGAAUUCAGUGAAUCAUCGAAUCUUUGAACGCACCUUGCGCUCCUUGGUAUUCCGAGGAGCAUGCCUGUUUGAGUGUCAUUAAAUUCUCAACCAUUAUCAACUUUUGCUGAUAAUGGCUUGGAUGUGGGGGUCUAUUUUGCUGGCUUCUCAGAUAGUCAGCUCCCCUUAAAUGCAUUAGCCGGUGCCCCGCGUGGACUGUCUAUUGGUGUGAUAAUUAUCUACGCUAUAGACAUCUGCAAUCAUUUGGGUUUGCGCUGCUUCUAACAGUCUGUUGAUUCAGACAAUACAUGACAAUUUGACCUCAAAUCAGGUAGGACUACCCGCUGAACUUAAGCAUAUCAAUAAGCGGAGGA
Molecule: unclassified non-coding RNA, 395 nt
Filed under: soil metagenome
Description: partial contains 5.8S ribosomal RNA, internal transcribed spacer 2, and large subunit ribosomal RNA
Rfam family: 5.8S ribosomal RNA (bases 1-120)
Source: RNAcentral